AAAAAUUACACACACAUGGGUAUCACAUGAAUCGUAAUGGGACAGAUCAUAAACAAAGUCAAAAACAGGCGUAAGGUCAUACACAGGCGAAAAGCACUUCUCUCUACACAAAACGCAAUGGCAAUGAUCUGUCCUGGGAUGGAGACGGCCGAGGCUUAAGUACACUUCUGGAAGCGUGCAGGCGACCAAUCCUGUCACACAAGGCCGAAGCAGGCGUGGACAAGACGUGAUCGCCCAGUAGCAGGCCGGAACGUCUGCGUGCAGUAGGUGUUGCCUAGAGAAGGGGGAAGAGACAAAAGAAAACCCAGACCACCACCGCCAUAGACACACAAAAGAUAGAGCAAACAAAUACGUUGGAUAACGUAACACAGCCAACCAGCCCAAAUGCCAGCAAGCCAAAAAGCCAGCUAAACAACCAGCCAGUCAAAAGCCAGCUAGGCAGCUGAAAAGCUGGCUAGCCAGCCAGCUAAACACCCAGUCUGCAGCCUAAAAGCCAUCCAUCAGCCAGCCAGACCGCCAGCCAGCCAGUCAAAUGCCAGUCAGUCUAAAAGCCAGCCAGCCAGACCACCUACCAGCCAAAAGCCAGCCUAAAAGCCAGCCAGACCACCAGCCAGCCAACGAAAAAUGCCAGCCAAAAAGUGAGCCAGUCUGCCAGCCAGCCAGCCAAAAAGCCAGCCAGUAAGCAUCAUCAAAACACUUAGCCAGCCCAAAAGCCAGCCACCCAAAAAAGCCAGCUCAAAGGCCAACCAAUUCAAUUCCAGCCAGCCAGCCAGUCAGCCAAUAUGUCAGCCUAAACGCCAGCCAGUCAGCCAAAAAGCUAGGCAGCCAAACAGCCAGCCAGGCAGCCAAACAGCCAGCCAGGCAGUCAAAAUGCCAGCCAGCCAGCCCUAAAUUCCAGCCAGCCAUCCCAAAAGCCAGCCCGCCAAAAAGCGAGCCAGCCAGCCAGCCAGCCAUCCCAAAAGCCAGCCAGCCCUAAAUUCCAGCCAGCCAGCCCAAAAGCCAGCCAUCCAAAAAAGCCAGCCAAAAAGCGAGCCAGCUUACCAGCUAGACAGUCGGCCAGCCACCCUCAAAGCCAGCUAGCCACAAUGCCAUGCAGUCAGUUAGACAAAAAUCCAAAGAGCCAGCCAGUCAGCCAAAAAGCUAAGCAGUCAAAAAGCCAGCCAGCCAGCCCAAAAGCCAGCCACUCAAAAAAGCCAGCCAAAAAGCAAGCCAGCCUGCCAGUGAGUCAGCCAGCCGAAAUGCCAGCCAGUCAGCCACCCAGACCGCUAGCCGGCCCAAAAUCCAGCCAAAAAGUGAGCAAGCUUGCCAGUCAGCCAAAAAGCCAGAUAGCCAGCCAGUCAGCCAAAAAGCCCGCCAGCCAGCCAGUCAGCCAAUAUGCCAGCCUAAAUGCCAGCUAAUCAGCCAAAAAGCUAGGCAGCCAAACAGCCAGCCAGGCAGUCAAAAUGCCAGCCAGGCAGUGAAAAAGCCAGCCAGACAGCCAAAAAGUGAGCAGCCAGCCAGCCACCCAAAAAAGUGAGCCAGCCAAAAAGCGAGCCAGUCAGACAAAAAAAAAAAAACAGCCGGCCAGUCAGACAAAAAACCAGCCAGCUAGUCAGCCAAAAAGCCAGUCAGUGAAAAAGCCAGCCAGCCAGCCAGCCAGUCAGCGAAAAAGCCAGCUAGCCAGUCAGCCAAAAAGCCAGCCAGUCAGCCAUCAAGCCAGUCAGACAAAGAGCCAAAAAGCCAGCCAUUCGACCAAAAAGGCAGUCAGCCAAAAUGCCAGUCAGUCAUCCAAAAAGCCUGUCAGCCAAACAGCCAGCCAGUCAAAAACCAGCCCAAGAGCCAGCCAGUCAGCCUGCCAAAACGCAAGCCAGCCUGCCAAAAAGAGAGACACCCAGCCCAAACUCCAGCCAGCCAGCCAAAAAGCCAGCCAGCCAGCCUCAAAGCAAGCCACCCACAAAGCCAGCCAGUCAGCCAAAAAGCCAGCCGGCCUGCCAAAAAGCCAGCUGGCCAGCCCAAACGCCAGCCAACCAAUCAGCCAAAAUGCUAGCUAGCCAGCCCAAUAGCCAGCCAGUCAGCCAAACAGCCAGCCAGCCCAAUAGCCAGCCAGUCAGCCAAAAUGUCUGCCAACCAGUCUGCCAAAACGUCAGCCAAUGAGCCAGCCAGUCAGCCCAAAAGCCAGUCAGCCCAAAAGCAUGCCAGCCAGCCAACCAUAAAGCCAGCAAGCCAGAAAUCCAGCCAGUUAUAUAGCCAAAAACCCAGCCAGCCAUCCAAAAACCAAGCCAGUCAAAAAUCCAGCCCAAAAGCCAGCCAGCCGGCCAGCCAGCCGGCUAUGCAAAAAUCCAGCUAGCCAGCCCAAAAAGCCAGCCAGCCAGCCAGCCAGUCAGUCAGCCAAAAAGCCAGCUAGCCAGCCAGCUCAAAAAGCCAGUGUUGGAAACUUUCUAUUCUCUAUUCCCUCAGUUAUGUAGAAGUAUGUUUAGGUUAUAGUUUGAUUUCUGUCUCAUGAACUUUUCUAGACCUGUCUGUGAUAUAGGUGCCAGUUAAUGUCACCAUAGGAACUUGUUUCUGUUAAAGCAAACCAGACCAUAUAUGUUCAGAAAGCUGUACAUUCUUGUAUUGCAUAAGAUGUUUUUCACGUAAAUGGCCAGUCAGUAACUGCCAUACUAUUUCAACAUCAUUACGCCUAUGCAUGGCUAUUUGUAGCUCUGUAUAUGUAUAUAAACCUGUGAAAUCUUUAAUAAAUCAGAAAGUCUCUCUGGGCUACCCUGUGUGUCAGUGUGGUUCAAUCAGACUUUCUCCAAGCUUGUAUAUGCUCUAAGGCAAACCACAUCCGCGUGGUAGCAUAGAGAAGAGAAGCACUCUACUCUUAACACAGAAAGGCUGAAAAGGCUAACAGAG
This is a long non-coding RNA of Ictalurus punctatus (channel catfish), 2874 nucleotides long. The record is from Ensembl. Lineage: Eukaryota; Metazoa; Chordata; Actinopteri; Siluriformes; Ictaluridae.